RNAcentral lists this ribosomal RNA (253 nucleotides) under uncultured bacterium. Its description in RNAcentral is "partial 16S ribosomal RNA". It matches the Rfam family "Bacterial small subunit ribosomal RNA", at positions 524 to 776 of the family's 1533-position model. The record is from RNAcentral.
UACGAAGGGGGCUAGCGUUGCUCGGAAUCACUGGGCGUAAAGGGUGCGUAGGCGGGGCUUUAAGUCAGGGGUGAAAUCCUGGAGCUCAACCCCAGAACUGCCUUUGAUACUGAAGAUCUUGAGUUCGGGAGAGGUGAGUGGAACUGCGAGUGUAGAGGUGAAAUUCGUAGAUAUUCGCAAGAACACCAGUGGCGAAGGCGGCUCACUGGCCCGAUACUGACGCUGAGGCACGAAAGCGUGGGGAGCAAACAGG